AAACUCUUUUUCUGUUCUCGGUUCAGGCACUUCUUGUACUGCUUUUUUAUUUCUUCUUUUUUUCUUUUUUCUUUUUUUUUUAGCAGGAUCAACCUCGAUUCCUCUUUCUUUCACAAUAAGCCUCAACGACUUACCGGACCGCACUCCGAAAGUGCACUUAUUCGAAUUCAACCUCAGUCUGAAUUGUCUCACGGUCAAACAGUUUGCCCCGGUCUACCGAUUGCCCCUCUUCUGUUUGGGACUUUGC
This 247-nucleotide long non-coding RNA is filed under the name Lathyrus oleraceus (garden pea). Its description in RNAcentral is "Pisum sativum (pea) long non-coding RNA (PSAT_LNC037211)". Lineage: Eukaryota; Viridiplantae; Streptophyta; Magnoliopsida; Fabales; Fabaceae. The record is from RNAcentral.